RNAcentral lists this long non-coding RNA (273 nucleotides) under Bos taurus (domestic cattle). Its description in RNAcentral is "long non-coding RNA NONBTAT015972". Lineage: Eukaryota; Metazoa; Chordata; Mammalia; Artiodactyla; Bovidae. The record is from RNAcentral.
UGUGGCCACCUGCUCCUGACCUUUGGCUGCCAGCAACAUCUCAGAAUUCUCUGGCUGCACACCUUAUUUGAUAGAUGCUGAUUGCCGUCAGUGAGAUUUGGGGCUAGACUGCACACAAAAUGAAUUGCAUCUAUGGGAAGUAGCUGCUAUUCAGAUUUCAGUAAUUCAACCACUGUGAUUUAUAUGCAGACCAGUAUAUAGCAUAUCCUAUGAAAUGAAGAUUGAGCUGGGGGAAAAAAAUGCUUUAUUUAUUUAAAUACAGCUCAAUUUGAC